GACGAACGCUGGCGGCGUGCCUAACACAUGCAAGUCGAACGGAACUGUUUUGAAAGAUUUCUUCGGAAUGAAUUUGAUUUAGUUUAGUGGCGGACGGGUGAGUAACGCGUGAGUAACCUGCCUUCAAGAGGGGAAUAACAUUCUGAAAAGAAUGCUAAUACCGCAUGACAUAUCGGAACCACAUGGUUUUGAUAUCAAAGAUUUUAUCGCUUGAAGAUGGACUCGCGUCCGAUUAGUUAGUUGGUGAGGUAACGGCGCACCAAGACCGCGAUCGGUAGCCGGACAGAGAGGACGAGCGGCCACAUUGGGAGUGAGGCACGGGCCAGACUCCUUCGGGAGGGAGCAGUGGGGGAUAUUGGGCAAUGGGCGCAACCCUGACGCAGCAACGCGGCGUGAAGGAUGAAGGUUGUCGGAGUGUAAACUUCUUUUAUUAAGGACGAAAAAUGACGGUACUUAAUGAAUAAGCUCCGGCUAACUACGUA
RNAcentral lists this ribosomal RNA (482 nucleotides) under uncultured bacterium. RNAcentral describes it as "partial 16S ribosomal RNA". It matches the Rfam family "Bacterial small subunit ribosomal RNA", at positions 28 to 507 of the family's 1533-position model. The record is from RNAcentral.